GAACGCUCUCUCGCAAGAUAGGGAGUGGCGGACGGGUGAGGAACACGUGGGUAUCUACCUGAAGGUGAGGAAUACCAGCGAGAAAUCGCUGACAAGACCGCAUAGCUUCUGCGCAAGUAGAAGAAGGUCGCAAGACGCCUUGAGAUGAGCCUGCGCCCGAUUAGCCAGUUGGUGGGGUAACAGCCUACCAAGGCGACGAUCGGUAGCUGGUCUGAGAGGACGAUCAGCCACACUGGGAUUGAGAACGGCCCAGACUCCUACGGGGGGCAGCAGUGAGGAAUUUUCGGCAAUGGGGGAAACCCUGACCGAGCAACGCCGCGUGCAGGAAGACGGCCUUCGGGUUGUAAACUGCUUUUCUCUAGGACGAGCGAGGACGGUACUAGAGGAAUCAGCCUCGGCUAACUACGUGCCAGCAGCCGCGGUAAU
This 426-nucleotide ribosomal RNA is filed under the name uncultured bacterium. Its description in RNAcentral is "bacterial SSU rRNA". It matches the Rfam family "Bacterial small subunit ribosomal RNA", at positions 64 to 524 of the family's 1533-position model. The record is from RNAcentral.